Molecule: unclassified non-coding RNA, 491 nt
Filed under: Leishmania donovani
Lineage: Eukaryota; Euglenozoa; Kinetoplastea; Trypanosomatida; Trypanosomatidae
Description: gene:unknown
Source: RNAcentral
CCCGAAGAAUGGGAAAGAAUUCAUCUCCUCGUUUUCUCUUCCUUUGUGUCUUUUGGAGGGGACUUUGGAAGAGAUGGCAGUCAUCAUCAUGCUUGAAAGAGACAGCACCCGCUAACCCAGCAUGCGAGCAGGCUGUAGCGUAGUACCCCUUCACCGCAUGUACACAGAUGUGAACUUCCUCGUAUUGCUGUCGCAUUCCGUUCCUUUGCGAAGCACCACAAGAUAUUGUAGGUACAGAAGCUCAGCGAGUUCCUCACGUUGUUGGUAUUUGGCGAAGCGUGCAAGCAACCGAUAGCCAAAGUGGCUUUGCCUUACCGCUUUCAAUGAGGUUGACCCCCACCCCACAAACACGGGCACACAAAAACAGACACGGACAAAGGAGCUGUACUGCAUCCCGCUCGUGAAACGAAAAGGCUCUGUAUUCUGUUCGGAGAGCGCGAGCACAUAGUAAAAAGAGUUGCCAUCUCGUCACCGCCACAGCGAGCUCUGAG